RNAcentral lists this ribosomal RNA (2289 nucleotides) under Triticum aestivum (bread wheat). Its description in RNAcentral is "partial small subunit ribosomal RNA". The record is from RNAcentral. Lineage: Eukaryota; Viridiplantae; Streptophyta; Magnoliopsida; Poales; Poaceae.
AUGGCACAAAUUGACAAGAGGAUACCUCAAGUUGGUAUGAGAUUCAAAGAUUCAAAUGAGGCUUGGAUGUUUUGGGUAGAAUAUGGGGGUCACAUAGGCUUCGAUGUGAGGAAAAGAUGCACCAACAAAAGCAAAUUUGAUGGAAAGGUGACUUCAUGCAGAUUUGUUUGUUCCAAUGAGGGUCUUAGAAGGAAAUGUCAAACCGAACGUGAGCCAAAGCGUUUUAGAGCUGAAACAAGAACUGAUUGUCUAGUUCGGAUGGUUAUUACAUUGGAUCGAGCGACAGAAAAUUAUGAAAUUACUGAAGUUGUGUUGGAACACAACCACUACCUUCAAUUGCCACAAACCCGCCACUUGUUGGUUUCACAAAGAAAGAUUUCAGAACUGCAAGCUUUCGAGAUAGAAACCGCUGAUGAUUCUGGAAUUAUGCCAAAACCCGCACAUGAGUUUGCUUGUCGUAAAGUUGGUGGGCCGCUUAACCUUGGCUAUACUUGCCGGGACCAAAAGAAUCAUUUGCGAAGCAAGAGACAGAGAGAAUUGGCUUUUGGACAGGCUGGGAGUAUGUUGAAGUAUUUUCGCGACAAAGUUGCUGAGAAUCCAUCAUUUCAAUAUGCGUUGCAGCUCGAUUGUGAGGAGAAUAUUGCCAACAUAUUCUGGCUUGAUGCUAAAAUGUUACUUGAUUAUGCACACUUUGGUGAUGUCACAUUUGACACCACAUUUGGCACAAAUAAAGAGUAUAGGCCAUUUGGUAUUUUUCUUGGGCUCAAUCAGUUUAGAGAAACCACCAUUUUUGGUGCUGCCUUGAUGUUUGAUGAAACACGAGACUCGUUUAUAUGGCUCUUCGAGAGUUUUCUAGCAGCACAUAAUGGAAGACAACCUAGAACUAUUUAUACGGAUCAAGAUAUAGCAAUGGGAAAAGCUAUAGAGCAUGUCUUCACGCAAUCAUAUCAUGGAUUGUGCACCUUCCACAUAAUGCAAAAUGCUGUCAAACAUUUAUCUUCAGUGAAGGACGAAGAGGAAGAUGAAGUGGAAGAUGAAGAAAAGGAGACUCACAUUCUCACUGAUUUUGGUGCAUGUAUGUAUGGCUAUGAGGACAAGGCAGAAUUUGAAGAAGCGUUUGAUAAUAUGAGACAAAAGGUGCAUAAGCAAACUUGGUUAGAUAGUAUCUACAAGGUGAAGGAAAAAUGGGCUGAAUGUUAUAUGAGAGAUGUCUUCAGUUUGGGAGUGAGGAGUACACAACUAAGUGAGAGCUUCAACAUUGCAUUGAAGAAUCAUUUGAAAUCAGAUUUCCAUAUUGUUCGAUUCUUGAUGCACUUUGAGAGGACGAUGGAAGUGAAAAGAAGAAAGGAAUUGGAAUCUGAAUUUGAGGCAAGGAAAAAAUUACCAAGAAUCAAAAUGUUCACACCUAUGUUGGUGCAAGCAAGCAAAGUGUAUACUCCAAUUAUUUUUGAAGCUUUCCAAGGUGAGUAUGAAAGAUCCAUGGCUGCAUGUUGUAGAGUAUUGGAUGGAAAUAACAAAUUUGGUGUUGCUAUUGGGAGUUUGCAUGAUGAUUUACAGUUCGAGGAGGAGCGCAUAGUGAUAGGUGAUCCUUUGACCCAAACCAUUUCAUGUAGUUGUGGAAUGUUCAAUAGGGCAGGAGUAUUGUGUGGACAUGGUCUCAAAGUUCUUGAUUUGCUGAAUAUAAAGACAAUGCCAACACAUUAUGUCUUAAAGAGAUUGACUAGAGAAGCACGCAAUGGAAGUAUACAAGAUAGGCAAGGAAGGAAUGUUGUAGAAAAUCCAAAACUAGAAGCUCAACUUCGGUACCAGGAUUUGUCUCAUAAAUUUCACAAUUUGGCACAUAAAGCAGCCAACUAUUUAGAAUGUUGUGUGCUAUUGGAGAAUGCACAUGAUUCCGUUGCUCCACAAAUAGAGGAUAAACUCAACGCAACUACUAGUGCUAUGAAUGAACCAUGUAAAGACAAGGAAAAUGUUGAACCAAAUGUCCAGCAAACAAAUGAGUUUCUUUGUUCCGCACAACUAAAGAAAAAAGAGGUUCAAUCAAGAAAUUUAAGGAGAAAGAAAGGUUGGCUUGAGAAGUUACUCAAGGGGAAGCGCAAGUCAACUAAAACUACCGCACCAACAAAAAAAGGAGCAAAGAAGCAACAAAAGAAGGGGAAGCCUCAAGUGGAAGUGGAGAAGGAUGACAAGAACAAAGGAGCAAACUUGGAGUUUCAAGAGUGCAAUGCAAUCUUCAGUUUCACCCAACUCUUGACAACUCCACCUUGUGAUGUUCAUCAUUUGUUUUAG